This 469-nucleotide ribosomal RNA is filed under the name uncultured bacterium. Its description in RNAcentral is "bacterial SSU rRNA". It matches the Rfam family "Bacterial small subunit ribosomal RNA", at positions 28 to 507 of the family's 1533-position model. The record is from RNAcentral.
GAUGAACGCUGGCGGCGUGCAUAACACAUUCAAGUCGAACGGACGUAUUUAGAAGCUUGCUUCCGGAUACGUUAGUGGCGGACGGGUGAGUAACGCGUGAGCAACCUGCCUUUGUGUGUGGAAUAACGUUUGGAAACGAACGCUAAUACCGCAUAAUGCAAGGACAUCGCAUGGUACAGUGUGAAAAACUCCGGUGGUAUGAGAUGGACCCGCGUCUGAUUAGAUAGUUGGUGGGUAACGGCCUACCAAGUCGACGAUCAGUAGCCGACCUGAGAGGGUGAUCGGCCACAUUGGGACUGAGACACGGCCCAAAACUCCUACGGGAGGCAGCAGUGGGAAUAUUGGGCAAUGGGGGAAACCCUGACCCAGCAACGCCGCGUGGAGGAAGAAGGUUUUCGGAUCGUAAACUCCUAGUCCUCAGGGAAGAGCAGAAGACGGUACCUGAGGAGGAAGCCCGGCUAACUACGUG